RNAcentral lists this unclassified non-coding RNA (484 nucleotides) under Hevea brasiliensis (rubber tree). The record is from RNAcentral. Lineage: Eukaryota; Viridiplantae; Streptophyta; Magnoliopsida; Malpighiales; Euphorbiaceae.
GGAACACAUACUCCCACUUUCUCAGCUAAAAAGAAAAUCAUCAACUUUGCUUCAAUUUCUCUUCAAUGCUAUGGCUAUUACACAUUAAUUUGUACAUUAAAGCUUAGAAGCUGCUCAUCAACAAGUAGUUAUGAGGGUUAUUCAAUAUGGGUCUUGCUCAUUUCCAUCAUUUCAAUUCCAAGAAUGCUCCUUUUCAAGGAAGAGAGUUGGAGUUGUCAAAGUGAUCAAGUCUAACUUGUCGAACUCAGAUGCUAAGAGAGCAAACCUUUCUGCCAGGAAGAAGGACAGAAUUAAGCUCCCCGAACAUUACAGUAUUGGUGGAGACAGUAAAUCAUUGCACAUAAGUGAGUUUCUGAGCCAUAAAUCUGGUAUUGAGGCAAUGUUGAACAAGAGAGCUUUGCAAAGCUUUGAAUCUAUUGAUUCUAAUACGUACAGGUGUACUCUUCCACAAGUUCAACUUCUAAAUUUUGAAGUUGCCCCUGUU